GUUGCGGUUUGGACUGGACUUAGAGCUAAGCCUGCAUAACACCCUCAGUAUAUUGACCCCUAAUGUCAUCAGAGUGGCUGACAGUGGGAGUCAGUAUCUCGUAGGCUUGACAGCCUCUCCCUCUAACACAGAUGACCUUCAAAAAAGUGCUGCUGUCCUAAUUUUGCCUGCCCUUUUCAAGGAGGAUGCCAAGUUUCUGUAUUGUUUAGAUGAGGAACCACUGUGUUUCCAACCAUCAUCUUCCAGGGUGGUGAUACUCCCCUCCUUGCCAGGAGAGCGUCCAUAAAGAUGGAUGGCAUCACAAUAGCAAGUGGAGAGAUGGAUGUGCCACAUGCCCUCCAAUGCCUGCUGGAGGUGUAUUACAUCUUUGGUGUGGAGUACCACAUGCAGAUUAAGCACACACUGGCUUUUGCAGAGCAUUAUUUGUUCAAGAUACCAAGUCAAAAAAGAGUGUUGACUCCUGUUUUGAGACUUUACAAUCAAAUUUGC
Molecule: long non-coding RNA, 489 nt
Organism: Alosa sapidissima (American shad)
Lineage: Eukaryota; Metazoa; Chordata; Actinopteri; Clupeiformes; Clupeidae
Exons: 3
Source: RefSeq, a predicted model, not a curated record